Molecule: ribosomal RNA, 439 nt
Filed under: uncultured bacterium
Lineage: Bacteria
Description: partial 16S ribosomal RNA
Rfam family: Bacterial small subunit ribosomal RNA
Source: RNAcentral
CUACGGGGGGCUGCAGUGGGGAAUAUUGCACAAUGGGGGAAACCCUGAUGCAGCAACGCCGCGUGGAGGAUGACGCAUUUCGGUGUGUAAACUCCUUUUAUAUCCCAAGAUAAUGACGGUAGGAUAUGAAUAAGCACCGGCUAACUCCGUGCCAGCAGCCGCGGUAAUACGGAGGGUGCAAGCGUUACUCGGAAUCACUGGGCGUAAAGGGCGCGUAGGCGGGUUGUCAAGUCUUGAGUGAAAUCCAACGGCUCAACCGUUGAACUGCUUGAGAAACUGGCAGCCUAGAGUGAGGGAGAGGUAGAUGGAAUUGGUGGUGUAGGGGUAAAAUCCGUAGAGAUCACCAGGAAUACCCAUUGCGAAGGCGAUCUGCUGGAACUCUACUGACGCUGAGGCGCGAAAGCGUGGGGAGCAAACAGGAUUAGAUACCCCUGUAGUC